AAGUCGUAACAAGGUUUCCGUAGGUGAACCUGCGGAAGGAUCAUUAUUGAGAUAGUCAGAAGCCUAUUAGGUCACCCAAACGCUUGAAAUAUUAGCCGGAAUGGGCAGUAAUAGCAAUCCGGCAUGACCGUUUGAAUCCAAGGGCACGCGUAUCCACCCGCUGUAUAUAUACUCUGUUGCAUUUCCGGGCGUCAUACCCCCGGGAGAGAACCCAAAUCUCAUUGAAUUUUAUGGAACGUCUGAGUACUAUAUAAUAGAUUAAAA
This 264-nucleotide unclassified non-coding RNA is filed under the name plant metagenome. RNAcentral describes it as "partial contains small subunit ribosomal RNA and internal transcribed spacer 1". The stretch from base 1 to 46 matches the Rfam family "Eukaryotic small subunit ribosomal RNA", at positions 1786 to 1831 of the family's 1831-position model. The record is from RNAcentral.